CACACAAGGAAGUGUAAAGAGAGCGACACUCGUGGCUGUAAAUGUUGGAAUAGGCUAUGUCCCAGCCCAGCCUCAAAAUUUCUUGGAAGAGGUCCUUGCAAAUGAGCAUCCUCCAUCCGACGGUAUUUUUCAGCGCAGUUUCUACUGAGAAAGAGUACUGCUCUCAUCUGCUCUGCUACUGAGCCAUCGCUCGAGGGACUGGACCAGCAGAAAGGGCUUUCCGUGGCCCUGUGACAACUUAUGAAAUGAGAAGAAUGAAGACUCAAACCGCUGUUUCUCUGAUGUGGCUUCUGAUUUUAAUGCUGCAGUUUGCUUCGCUUACCAAAGGCCUGAAUCACUUUAUAGUUCCUCAGAAUUUGACCUCGGAGACCGGAAAAACUGUCACCUUUGAAUGUGGUGUCAGUGGAUUGAGUGGGCAACAAAUCAGGUUUUACAUUAUGGGUUCAAAGGUCAAUGAUUCUAUGGCUUGUCCAGGAGACAAAACCAAAUACUUACCCGCUCAGUCAAUGAAAGCGUACUGUUAUAAAAAAGCUAGUGGAGACGUAGCUGCUUGGGAAGUCGCAGGAACAUCAGAAGACGACAAUGGCACUAUUUUUUUGUGCAAGGUCAAUGGUAUAGAUGACAAAAUCGGACACCUU
This 638-nucleotide long non-coding RNA is filed under the name Sinocyclocheilus grahami. Its description in RNAcentral is "lncRNA (ENSSGRG00000002298.1)". The record is from RNAcentral. Lineage: Eukaryota; Metazoa; Chordata; Actinopteri; Cypriniformes; Cyprinidae.